UUAAUACAAGAUGGCAUCAUGAGUCCGCAUGUUCACAUGAUUAAAGGUAUUCCGGUAGACGAUGGGGAUGCGUUCCAUUAGAUAGUAGGCGGGGUAACGGCCCACCUAGUCCUCGAUGGAUAGGGGUUCUGAGAGGAAGGUCCCCCACAUUGGAACUGAGACACGGUCCAAACUCCUACGGGAGGCAGCAGUGAGGAAUAUUGGUCAAUGGGCGAGAGCCUGAACCAGCCAAGUAGCGUGAAGGAUGACUGCCCUAUGGGUUGUAAACUUCUUUUAUAAAGGAAUAAAGUCGGGUAUGCAUACCCGUUUGCAUGUACUUUAUGAAUAAGGAUCGGCUAACUCCGUGCCAGCAGCCGCGGUAAUACGGAGGAUCCGAGCGUUAUCCGGAUUUAUUGGGUUUAAAGGGAGCGUAGAUGGAUGUUUAAGUCAGUUGUGAAAGUUUGCGGCUCAACCGUAAAAUUGCAGUUGAUACUGGAUAUCUUGAGUGCAGUUGAGGCAGGCGGAAUUCGUGGUGUAGCGGUGAAAUGCUUAGAUAUCACGAAGAACUCCGAUUGCGAAGGCAGCCUGCUAAGCUGCAACUGACAUUGAGGCUCGAAAGUGUGGGUAUCAAACAGGAUUAGAUACCCUGGUAGUCCACACGGUAAAC
This 646-nucleotide ribosomal RNA is filed under the name uncultured bacterium. RNAcentral describes it as "bacterial SSU rRNA". It matches the Rfam family "Bacterial small subunit ribosomal RNA", at positions 163 to 807 of the family's 1533-position model. The record is from RNAcentral.